UACGAAGGGGGCUAGCGUUGCUCGGAAUCACUGGGCGUAAAGGGUGCGUAGGCGGGUUUUUAAGUCAGAGGUGAAAUCCUGGAGCUCAACUCCAGAACUGCCUUUGAUACUGGGAAUCUUGAGUAUGGAAGAGGUGAGUGGAACUGCGAGUGUAGAGGUGAAAUUCGUAGAUAUUCGCAAGAACACCAGUGGCGAAGGCGAGUCCCUGGACAACUUCUGACGCUGAGGCACGAAAGCUAGGGGAGCAAACAGG
Molecule: ribosomal RNA, 253 nt
Filed under: uncultured bacterium
Lineage: Bacteria
Description: partial 16S ribosomal RNA
Rfam family: Bacterial small subunit ribosomal RNA
Source: RNAcentral